GAUGAAGAACGCAGCGAAAUGCGAUAAGUAAUGUGAAUUGCAGAAUUCAGUGAAUCAUCGAAUCUUUGAACGCACAUUGCGCCCGCCAGUAUUCUGGCGGGCAUGCCUGUUCGAGCGUCAUUUCAACCAUCAAGCCCCCGGGCUUGUGUUGGGGACCUGCGGCUGCCGCAGGCCCUGAAAAGCAGUGGCGGGCUCGCUGUCACACCGAGCGUAGUAGAUUUUAUCUCGCUCAGGGCGUGCUGCGGGUUCCGGCCGUUAAACCACCUUCAUAACCCAAGGUUGACCUCGGAUCAGGUAGGAAGACCCGCUGAACUUAAGCAUAUCAAUAAGCGGAGGC
Molecule: unclassified non-coding RNA, 337 nt
Filed under: soil metagenome
Description: partial contains 5.8S ribosomal RNA, internal transcribed spacer 2, and large subunit ribosomal RNA
Rfam family: 5.8S ribosomal RNA (bases 1-120)
Source: RNAcentral